GAUGAAGAACGCAGUGAAAUGCGAUAAGUAAUGUGAAUUGCAGAAUUCAGUGAAUCAUCGAAUCUUUGAACGCAUCUUGCGCUCCUUGGUAUUCUGAGGAGCAUGCCUGUUUGAGUGUCAUUAAAUUCUCAACUACACUGACUUUGAAUUGGUGUGGCUUGGAUUUGGGGGGAAAAUUGUUGUGGGCUUUUUGUAUAGUCUGCUCCCCUGAAAUUGAUUAGCGGUACCUUUGUGGAACUGUCUACAGGUGUGAUAAUUAUCUACAUCUGCUGGAAUGCUGCUUUCUAAACCUUACUUGUAUUGACAAUCUUGACCUCAAAUCAGGAAGGACUACCCGCUGAACUUAAGCAUAUCAAUAAGCGGAGGA
RNAcentral lists this unclassified non-coding RNA (367 nucleotides) under soil metagenome. RNAcentral's name for it is "partial contains 5.8S ribosomal RNA, internal transcribed spacer 2, and large subunit ribosomal RNA". The stretch from base 1 to 120 matches the Rfam family "5.8S ribosomal RNA", at positions 35 to 154 of the family's 154-position model. The record is from RNAcentral.